This 458-nucleotide ribosomal RNA is filed under the name uncultured bacterium. RNAcentral's name for it is "partial 16S ribosomal RNA". It matches the Rfam family "Bacterial small subunit ribosomal RNA", at positions 29 to 507 of the family's 1533-position model. The record is from RNAcentral.
AACGAACGCUGGCGGCAUGCCUAACACAUGCAAGUCGAACGAGAUCUUCGGAUCUAGUGGCGCACGGGUGCGUAACGCGUGGGAAUCUGCCCCUUGCUUCGGAAUAACAGUGAGAAAUUACUGCUAAUACCGGAUGAUGUCUCCGGACCAAAGAUUUAUCGGCAAGGGAUGAGCCCGCGUAGGAUUAGGUAGUUGGUGGGGUAAUGGCCUACCAAGCCGACGAUCCUUAGCUGGUCUGAGAGGAUGAUCAGCCACACUGGGACUGAGACACGGCCCAGACUCCUACGGGAGUCAGCAGUGGGGAAUAUUGGACGAUGGGCGCAAGCCUGAUCCAGCCAUACCGCGUGGGUGAUGAAGUCCUUCGGGUUGUAAAGCCCUUUUGUUGGGAAAGAAAAGCAGCAGUUUAAUACCCCGCUGUUCUGACGGUACCCAAAGAAUAAGCACCGGCUAACUUCGUG